UACGGAGGGAGCUAGCGUUGUUCGGAAUUACUGGGCGUAAAGCGCGCGUAGGCGGCUUUGUAAGUUAGAGGUGAAAGCCCGGGGCUCAACCCCGGAACUGCCUUUAAGACUGCAUCGCUUGAAUCCAGGAGAGGUGAGUGGAAUUCCCAGUGUAGAGGUGAAAUUCGUAGAUAUUGGGAAGAACACCGGUGGCGAAGGCGGCUCACUGGCUCGUAUCUGACGCUCAGGCGCGAUAGCGUGGGGAUCAAACAGG
RNAcentral lists this ribosomal RNA (253 nucleotides) under uncultured bacterium. RNAcentral's name for it is "partial 16S ribosomal RNA". It matches the Rfam family "Bacterial small subunit ribosomal RNA", at positions 524 to 776 of the family's 1533-position model. The record is from RNAcentral.